This is a long non-coding RNA of Neodiprion fabricii, 127 nucleotides long. RefSeq lists it as uncharacterized. Lineage: Eukaryota; Metazoa; Arthropoda; Insecta; Hymenoptera; Diprionidae. The transcript is spliced from 3 exons. The record is from RefSeq and is a predicted model, not a curated record.
UAUUGUUUUAGAAAAUCGUAUAUCUAUAUUAGGGUGGUCGUUAAAAAUUAAAAUCUUUGCGGCGCCCGAAAAAAUCCUUCCUUCUGAUGAGAAACCACGGGAAAAAUUUUGCUUUUGCGAUUUAAAC